Non-coding RNA from Stachybotrys chartarum IBT 40288, 74 nucleotides. The record is from Rfam. Lineage: Eukaryota; Fungi; Ascomycota; Sordariomycetes; Hypocreales; Stachybotryaceae.
AGCGGGUUAGUGUAAUAGUAAACAUAUUCGGCUCAUGAUCGAAAGAUAGCGAGGUGCAAGUCCCCUACCCGCGU